AAGAUUUUUGGCAAUGUUUCAAUUAUUGCACUGUAUGUUGUUAACACAUGAAUUACUCACACAUGAACAUAACGUGUCUGAUUCAUUGUGUUUUCUCUUUCUGUCUUCAGUCUGUGUGGAUGCAGUAUUACAGAGAAACAGUGUCUCAUCCUGACUUCAGCUCUGAAAUCAAACCCAUCACACCUGAGAGAACUGAACCUGAGCGGGAAUCAAAUAAAAAACACAGGAAUGAAUCACUUAUGUGACGUACUGAAGGAUUCACGCUGUAAACUGGAGAGAUUGAGUCUUCGUUACUGUGGCAUUACAGAUGUUUCUUCUUUAACUCAGUCUUUGACAAACACAAAAGCUCUGCAGUUUCUAAAAGAGAUUAAUCUGAGUGUUAAUACGAUUGGAGACUCAGAGCAGAAGCUCAUUGAUGUGCUACGAGACUCAAACUGUAAACUGAGGUGAGUAAACUUCACUUUGUGAUAUUAAAGAGAUUCAUUUACCUCUGAUAUCUGAACAAAUAUAUGCUUUCAGAUAUUAGUGAAAAGAGUUGAUCAAAUGAACAUCAAGCUUUAUUUCAAAGGGUUUGUGUCAGAAUGAAAUGUAAAGUUGAUAAAAAUGUUGAACACAAAGGAGGAAAGAGAAGAAAAGCAGACUGUCACAGCUUUCUACAGCAACAGCUGCUUUAUUAAUGAGAUCAGUAAUAGUGAAUCAUUCGAGUUUGAAAUAGAUUUGUUCAGAUUGUAGGAAAACGCUGGUAAAAUCAGAGCAGAUUCAGCUUCAGCUCACAGUCGUCCAGCAUCACAUGAUCAAUGUCUCUGUCUCUUGUGUGUUUUUACUUUGACAAGCAACACGUCACAUUACUUUACACUUACUUUCUGUAAGAGAUAAUGUCCCUCCAGCCGCUUGUUAUCACAGAAUAAACCCGACAGGGUGAUCAGGACUUGUGUCCUCCUGAAGAGACUUAUUCUGUGAUAACAUCCGGCUGCAUCUGCAUUAUCACACUUAUUAUAUGCUUUCUUGACACACAAGUGAAGAAUUAGACACAAUUUAGAUUCAGCUAAACACUUCUGGUCAGUUAGCAACAACUUGAACAACAAGACACACUUUGAACAAUGUCUCCUCAAGUCUACUAUUAACAGGAAUCUCCUGUGGUUUGGUUUGAGGGUAAAUCCAGUCAGUAACUGAGGCACAAGCUAAUAGCAGUUGUGUUUGAAUGAAACGAGUGAGAGCGCGGUGCUGUGAUACGAGAGAAGUCAAAGAAACGCCCGACUCAAAUACCGUAUGACUGUGUGUUAUUCUGCUGCUAAUGACACACACCUAAUGAAUAACACACCUCCGAAUGUCACCACUGACCAAUCAGAAUCCAGUAUUCCAGCGAGCUGUGCAAUCAUUUCACUUAUUUACUGAGACCAACACAAACAUGUUUAAACUAGAGACAAACAGCUUUAACUAGUGACACAUUUAACUGAAAGAUUUGUGUUUUAAGACUAAAUCACAUUUGUGUUUGUUCCUUGUCAUUUAUUAAAACGUGACUGAAGUAUAGUAACAACUUGUUAAUUUUUUUCCCUGAUUAUCUUAUAUUUGUUUCACUGAACUCUGAUUAUCUUCUCUUCGGUUCUAUCACCAAAAGUCCCAACAAUCACAAGAAAAACCUCGUUGAGUUCAAUCACGAAAAGCUGCUAAAUGCUGUGUAUCAUAAAGUGAAGUGAUCUUGGGAGAAGCAGUAAACAUCAGCUGAAGAUCCACAGAAGAGCUUCACUACACUGUGUCUAUGAGGAGAAAUAAAUGUGUGAUAAAUGUGUAAAUGUGAUCCAUACAGGUGAAGAGACUCAGACUUUACAAUCAAAUAAUGCAGCAUGUGUGUUAGAAACAUGAUAUUGAAUGAUUAAUGUUGCUUUAGUAUUCAAGCAGAUGAUCAUUGUGUUUAAUGUAAAGCUGGAACAGAGGAGGAAGAAGCUCAGAUGAGUCUGUCUGGCUCUUCAGUUUAAUAAUAUUUCUAUUAAACUCACUCAUAAUGAUUCAAAUGUUUAAAUGUGAUUGUCAAGUGCAGCACUUAAAUGUGUCAAAAGAUAGAAAGCAAAUCUACAAUGUGUGAAACUUAUCUCAUGUUUUCUACACAUUAUUAUUAUUAUUAUUAUUCUAUUUUACUUUAUAUUUAGUUGUGUGUCUGUUGUUAAUGUACAUAUAUCCAGUAUAUAGUCUUUGUUCUGUGGAUGGAGUCUCUCCUUCAUCAAAUCAACUAAACAUUUUCACAAGUUAACAGCAUUUGUGUCUUUCACUCUCCUCUAAAUACUCCUCAAAACACAUUUAGUCUUUUUAACACUUUUAUAUUUUCAUGUGAAUAAAAUGACACAUACAGUUAAAAGCAACUACUUUGUUUGAAAAGUUUACUUGUCUGUUUUAAGUAUUAUUGAAGCGACAUAAGCAGUUUCUCUAACUUUAAUGUAGGCUAACUUGUAGACAUAAAGCAUAAAUAGCUAAUGUAUAAUAUCAGAAAUGUUUCCAUUAUACGUACAGCAGGUAAAAUAAGUCAGCAUUUUUCUCAGUUAAUAUAUUUCUGAAGGUGCUGUUGACAUGAAAUUUUCACCAUGUCUGAAACAAUCCAAGUAAUACAUUCAUACAAAUUAAAUAAGUUCAGAAAUUAAGUUCUGUGUAAUAAAGUAGAAUGCCAAUCACCAAAUGUACAGUAGAAAGAGAAAAACGUUCAGAAAUGAUUUAGGAAAUAAAAAAACCAACAGCUUUUAUGAAUUCAGUGUGUUUAUACAUAUGCAAUAGUAAAUCUAAGCAACUUCAAAUUGCAAUGUUUUUAAUGUAAAGCGUAUUAUUGAGUUAUGAUUUCUAAUGCAUACAGGUGAAACAUAUUAAAUAAUGCAGCAUUAAUAUAAACACGUACACAUGGGAGAUAUUGAAGAACAUUUCAGUCAUAGCACAGAAUCAGCUCUUUUGAGGGUUUCUAAUGAUACUUUACAUGGUUUGAGCUUAGGUUUGAUUGGCAAAUGAAUGCUGUUGUAAAGUUGAUCAUCUCUUUUGAGGACAUGGAGAAAGUUGUGCAUGUUUUGUGUUAUUGUGUUUGGAUUAUUGUAAUGGAUUAUAUAAUAAGAGAGAGCACAUUACUUCUGUGCUUAUCAUCUCACACUGGCUAUCUGUACAACACAGAAUUUAUUACAAAGUGCUGCGAUAUGUUUUCAAAGAGUAGUUGUUUGUAGUAGUUAUGUUUUGGUAUAGAUAAGGGUUAAGGGAUGUAGAAUAUGGCCAUGCAGAAUAAAACAUUAAUAUGUGCUUUAUACAGUAAGUACUAAUAAACGGUAAAUAAUCUAGUAAUAUGCAUGCUAAUAAUCAACUAGUGAAUAGAGGCAUACUACAAAGGUAAUAAUGUAAGUUUGCUCUUAAAAUUUACAAGAUGGUGCCAGGACGUUUGUCGGCUUGAGAAGAAUUACUUUGGAUGACAGACAAAUCAGUGUUUUAAAUAAAUGAAUUUUAAUUUAACAUCCAUUAAAUCCAACAUUGACCAAAUAUUUCUAUUUAUCCAGUCCUCAUAAAACAGGGAUUUGUUUCUGUGUAGAAUGUGUUUGUUAUUAUAUAAUUAUGUUAUAUAGGCGUUAAUUCUAUUAUUAUGUUAUAUAGAUGUUAAUUGUAUUAUUAUCUUAUGUAGGAGUAUCUUGGGUGUAAAACUGUGGAAGUUUGGGUAAAUCAAAGUCAUAUUUGAGAAGGAAGCAGAUCCCAAAACAAAACUGAACACUGCAUACCAAAAGAUCUCAGCACUACCCAAAAUAUCUGAAGCCACUUAGGUUUUAACAAAGUUUCAUACUCUCAAAUUAAAAUUACAUUCAGACCAGCUUCUU
This 3830-nucleotide long non-coding RNA is filed under the name Carassius auratus (goldfish). RNAcentral's name for it is "lncRNA (ENSCARG00000040024.1)". Lineage: Eukaryota; Metazoa; Chordata; Actinopteri; Cypriniformes; Cyprinidae. The record is from RNAcentral.